Molecule: transfer RNA, 67 nt
Filed under: Terriglobales bacterium
Lineage: Bacteria; Pseudomonadati; Acidobacteriota; Terriglobia; Terriglobales
Description: Acidobacteriales bacterium (groundwater metagenome) tRNA-OTHER
Source: RNAcentral
GCCUCCAAGCUGGCAGGAGGGCCCGUGGUGUAAUGGGAGCACGCGGGUUCGAAUCCCGUCGGGUCCA